Molecule: small nuclear RNA, 325 nt
Filed under: Microcebus murinus (gray mouse lemur)
Lineage: Eukaryota; Metazoa; Chordata; Mammalia; Primates; Cheirogaleidae
Description: 7SK RNA (ENSMICG00000024165.3)
Rfam family: 7SK RNA
About the family: 7SK was discovered as an abundant small nuclear RNA in the mid-70s but a possible function has only recently been suggested. Two independent studies have found that 7SK RNA binds the CDK9/cyclin T complex (known as elongation factor P-TEFb). P-TEFb activates transcription by phosphorylating the C-terminal domain of RNA polymerase II.
Source: Rfam by way of RNAcentral
AGAUAUGAGGUCAAUCUGGCUGUGACAUCUGUCACCACAUUGAUCACCAGGGUUGAUUCGGCUGCUCUGGCUGGCUAGGUGGGUGUCACCUUGCUGCCUCAGAGCUCCAUGGGAGUCCCUCCUGAAGCUGCAUGCUCCAUCCAAGGGGAUGACCUUUCCUGAUAGAGGGAGACCUUUUCUAGUCAGGGAUAUACCUGUGCCUGUGCUCCCCUGCUAGAACUUCCAAACAGGCUCUCAAAUGUUAAUUGGCCGCUAUUAAUGUUAGUGGGCUUAUUUGGUGUUGCUUCCUCCUCAAAAGAAGUAGCCUACCUGGUUAUUUUUUUGA